UGAUGACAUUGGGAAAUAUAUCCUUUGUUAACACAGAAUCCAGAUGGAGAAAGUGAGAAUUACUGGUUGUAGGAGACCGUGAUGGACGUCAAGUGUUGACAGACUUGAAGCCUCGUGGCUGUUGUCCUGCUUUCCAGGCUGCACUGACCAACACCACAC
This 159-nucleotide long non-coding RNA is filed under the name Dasypus novemcinctus (nine-banded armadillo). Its description in RNAcentral is "lncRNA (ENSDNOG00000052352.1)". Lineage: Eukaryota; Metazoa; Chordata; Mammalia; Cingulata; Dasypodidae. The record is from RNAcentral.